AGUAUUGUGGAUGAAAGGACUGAGUCCUUUGCAUCCUUUGUUCCCUUUAACCAUCCCAAGGAAAGAACUACACAUGUUAAAGAUCUAUCGUCAACUUCUUCCUUCUGACAAAACAUACAACAAAGAAAUGAAGGAGCAUGCUGAAAAUUAAUAUAGAAAUAGGGAAAGAGGAGAAACAUGAAAAAUAUGAGAUGCUUCCUUACACUUCUUUUCUAUCUUCCAAGCUACAGGAGAAACAUGAAAAACGAGAAUCGUGAAAAAUAUGAGAUGCUUCUUGUUCAGUUGAGUCUUUUCUAUCUUUCAGGCUAUAGGAGAAACAUGAAGAAUAUGGGAUGCUUCUUGUUUGGCUGAAAAACAUUCUUGGGCAAUUGCAUCUACAAGUGGUCAUUCUGGAUAUGGCAUGCUGAAAAGACUACAGCUCCAACAUGUUCAAAAUUAAAUAUUUCCUUUAGUUGUCCUCAUAAAAAUAUGUAGUUAAAUCAAAGAGCUUCUGUACUACACCUUUAAACUUCGUGGACAUGUAUAGUAUGGAAGAGUUUGGGCCAGUUUAAGUACUUCACUAUGAGGCUGUAGUGUUAGAGAAAUUAGCAUCAAUAUUCAAUAAUGGUUAUGUUGUAUCCAUGGUAUGGUUUUUUGGUUGUGGAGAAACUCCUACAUCAUUUUGUAAGAUACAAAACAUUGGAAAUAAGUAUAAUUAAUAUGUUAUUUCUAGUCAA
This is a long non-coding RNA of Cryptomeria japonica (Japanese cedar), 716 nucleotides long. RefSeq lists it as uncharacterized. The record is from RefSeq and is a predicted model, not a curated record. The transcript is spliced from 3 exons. Lineage: Eukaryota; Viridiplantae; Streptophyta; Pinopsida; Cupressales; Cupressaceae.